RNAcentral lists this ribosomal RNA (513 nucleotides) under uncultured bacterium. RNAcentral's name for it is "partial 16S ribosomal RNA". It matches the Rfam family "Bacterial small subunit ribosomal RNA", at positions 28 to 523 of the family's 1533-position model. The record is from RNAcentral.
GACGAACGCUGGCGGCAUGCCUAAUACAUGCAAGUCGAGCGAACAGAUGAAGUGCUUGCACUUCUGACGUUAGCGGCGAACGGGUGAGUAACACGUAAGGAAUCUACCUAUAAGCGGGGGAUAACAUUCGGAAACGGGUGCUAAUACCGCAUAAUAUCUUCUUCCGCAUGGAAGAAGAUUGAAAGACGGCUCUGCUGUCACUUAUAGAUGACCUUGCGGUGCAUUAGUUAGUUGGUGGGGUAACGGCCUACCAAGACGAUGAUGCAUAGCCGACCUGCGAGGGUGAUCGGCCACAUUGGGACUGAGACACGGCCCAAACUCCUACGGGAGGCAGCAGUAGGGAAUCUUCCGCAAUGGGCGAAAGCCUGACGGAGCAAUGCCGCGUGGGUGAAGAAGGCCUUCGGGUCGUAAAACUCUGUUAUAAGAGAAGAACAAAUUGUAGAGUAACUGCUACAGUCUUGACGGUAUCUUAUCAGAAAGCCACGGCUAACUACGUGCCAGCCGCCGCCGAAA